Molecule: ribosomal RNA, 756 nt
Filed under: uncultured bacterium
Lineage: Bacteria
Description: bacterial SSU rRNA
Rfam family: Bacterial small subunit ribosomal RNA
Source: RNAcentral
AGAGUUUGAUCAUGGCUCAGAUUGAACGCUGGCGGCAUGCUUUACACAUGCAAGUCGAACGGCAGCGCAGGGCAACCUGGCGGCGAGUGGCGAACGGGUGAGUAAUAUAUCGGAACGUACCCAAGAGUGGGGGAUAACGCAGCGAAAGUUGCGCUAAUACCGCAUACGAUCUAAGGAUGAAAGCAGGGGACCGCAAGGCCUUGUGCUCCUGGAGCGGCCGAUAUCUGAUUAGCUAGUUGGUGAGGUAAAGGCUCACCAAGGCGACGAUCAGUAGCUGGUCUGAGAGGACGACCAGCCACACUGGAACUGAGACACGGUCCAGACUCCUACGGGAGGCAGCAGUGGGGAAUUUUGGACAAUGGGCGCAAGCCUGAUCCAGCAAUGGCCGCGUGAGUGAAGAAGGCCUUCGGGUUGUAAAGCUCUUUUGUCAGGGAAGAAACGGCUGUGGCUAAUAUCCACGGCUAAUGACGGUACCUGAAGAAUAAGCACCGGCUAACUACGUGCCAGCAGCCGCGGUAAUACGUAGGGUGCAAGCGUUAAUCGGAAUUACUGGGCGUAAAGCGUGCGCAGGCGGUUUUGUAAGUCUGACGUGAAAUCCCCGGGCUUAACCUGGGAAUUGCGUUGGAGACUGCAAGGCUAGAAUCUGGCAGAGGGGGGUAGAAUUCCACGUGUAGCAGUGAAAUGCGUAGAGAUGUGGAGGAACACCGAUGGCGAAGGCAGCCCCCUGGGUCAAGAUUGACGCUCAUGCACGAAAGC